Molecule: ribosomal RNA, 2786 nt
Filed under: Triticum aestivum (bread wheat)
Lineage: Eukaryota; Viridiplantae; Streptophyta; Magnoliopsida; Poales; Poaceae
Description: partial small subunit ribosomal RNA
Source: RNAcentral
CGCAUCAAAUAGGUCCCGUUCCGUUCCGCCCACCCCCGCGCAACCCGCCUCCCUCCCCGCGCCUCCGCCCGUCCCGCCCCCCAUGGCGGCCACCCCGCCGUCGUCGCGGGACCCGUCGCCGCAGCCCCGCCGUCCCGCCGCCGCCGCUGGCCGGCCCGCCGCCAGCGGCACCGGCGCCGGCGCCAGCGGCAACGGCAAGCGCGGCGGCCUCCUGCUCGGCCGCUACGAGCUGGGCCGCGUCCUCGGCCACGGCACCUUCGCCAAGGUCUACCACGCGCGCCACGCCGACACGGGCGAGACGGUCGCCAUCAAGGUGCUGGACAAGGAGAAGGCGCUGCGUGCCGGCCUCGUCCCGCACAUCAAGCGCGAGAUCACCAUCCUCCGCCGCGUCCGCCACCCCAACAUCGUGCGCCUCUUCGAGGUCAUGGCCACCAAGUCCAAGAUCUACUUCGUCAUGGAGUUCGUCCGCGGCGGCGAGCUCUUCGCGCGCGUCGCCAAGGGCCGCCUCAAGGAGGACACGGCCCGCCGCUACUUCCAGCAGCUCAUCUCCGCCGUCGGCUUCUGCCACGCGCGCGGCGUCUUCCACCGCGACCUCAAGCCCGAGAACCUCCUCGUCGACGAGCGCGGGGACCUCAAGGUCUCCGACUUCGGCCUCUCCGCCGUCGCCGACCAGUUCCACCCCGACGGCCUCCUCCACACCUUCUGCGGCACCCCCUCCUACGUCGCGCCCGAGAUGCUCGCGCGCCGCGGAUACGACGGCGCCAAGGCCGACAUAUGGUCCUGCGGGGUCAUCCUCUUCGUCCUCAUGGCCGGCUACCUCCCUUUCCAUGAUCAGAACCUCAUGGCCAUGUACCGCAAGAUUUACAGAGGGGAAUUCCGCUGCCCGAGGUGGUUCUCCAGAGAUCUCACCAGCCUGUUGAAUCGCCUUCUCGACACCAACCCGGAGACAAGGAUCACCAUGGCCGAAGUCAUGCAGAGCAGGUGGUUUCAGAAGGGAUUUCGGCCUGUCAGGUUCUAUGUUGAGGACGAUCAGCUGCACAGCUUAGGGGACGGUGAGAGUGAGGAGCUGGGUCUCGUCGAACCUACCGAGCCGCCGCCUCCUCCUCCUCUUCCGCCACCGCUGCCACCACCACCGCAGCAAGAGGAUGAUGACUCAGGGUGGGAGUCGGAUUCCUCCGUCGCAUCCUGCCCUGCCACGCUGUCGUCCGAGGAGCGGCAGCGGCCUGCCGGGCGUCUCACACGGCCAGCAAGCCUCAACGCUUUCGAUAUCAUAUCCUUCUCCAAGGGAUUUGAUCUAUCAGGGCUGUUCGAGGAGCGAGGGAGCGAAGUGAGAUUCAUCUCAGCACAGCCCAUGGAAACCAUUGUUACAAAAUUGGAGGAGAUUGCCAAGAUGAAGAGCUUCUCCAUUCGGCGCAAGGACUGGCGCGUAAGCAUAGAAGGCACCAGGGAAGGGGAGAAGGGGCCAUUGACGAUUGGGGCUGAGAUAUUUGAGCUUACACCAAGCCUCUUGGUGUUGGAGGUGAAGAAGAAGGCUGGGGAUAAGGCAGAGUAUGAUGACUUCUGCAACAAGGAGUUGAAACCUGGGAUGGAGCCUCUCGUGCACCACCAACAGGGCUCGGCUCGAAAUGUACCUUCUGAUACGGAGUAGUUCUAAAGAAACCGAGCAGAAGCGAAGGGUUGCAAACAAUUCAAUUCCUGUUCCUGCAAGGUCACAAACAUAUGUUACAUAUCAGUGUUAUUCAGAAAGAGGUGCGGUAAGUUACUUGCAUAUUCUAAUAAUCGUCUAUUAAUUCCAAACCUGUUGGUCCAGAAAAAGGAAAGACAAACUGAAGUUUAGUGCAUAUCCUUUUCUGCGUCAAACAUUGCAAAUGAAGAGGACCAAUGGUUCUGUGCUCCUGUAUAGUCGUGUAUGCGAGAAUAGGUAAGACACUUAGCAUGUACCAUGAUUCUGGAGUUGGAUGGGACGAUAGGGCAGGAGGGGCUGCGAGGAAUGUGUCAAGGUUGGAGGAUGGUCAAUGUAGGCCACUGGGGCUUAAGAUUGGACACUGUUAUAUGAAUAAAGUUAGAGCAGGCAUCACACUGAAUAAGGUGAAGUUUAGGGGUCAGGAUAUAAGCAUUUACUAAAUAUUUUAUGUUGCAUAUGCCUAUUCCUAAUCUAUUCCAUGUACAUCAGAGGUUGAUAUGUUAUUUCAGAGAGGUACAAUUAAGUACAGUAGCUUCCAAGCAACUGGACACUUGAUAAGUUUUCUUAUGUAAUCAUAUGAAAUUUGAUAACAUAACUUAAUUGUUAUAAUAAUAUAACUAAUAUAAGAACAGUAUGGCGUGACAAAUUACAAAGGGAUAAUAGCUCAACCAGGCCAAGAAUUGUGACAAAAGAUCUAUUUUUAGCUGAAUGCAUACAGUUGUCACACUGAAUAAGGUAAAGUUGGCCAGGUUAGGGGUCAGGGAUAUAAACAUUUACUGAAUUAUUUGUGUUACAUAUGUCUAUGCCAAUCUACUCCAUGUACAUCAAAGGUUGAUAUGUUGUUUCAGAGGAGGUGCAAUAAGCACCUUCCAACACUGGGGUAAUAGGAGCUCAAUCAUACCAGUAACUGUGAUGAUGAAUGGUAGCUGAAUGCAGUGAAAAAAAAGAUGGCAUGGUUAAUUUCUGAUCUUCGAUUAUGGAUGUGUUCUUAUCCAGUUUUGAAGAUGUACAUACCGGCAAACUGAUCGUGUGAAUACCUACUAUGCCACCUUUUCUUGUUUAUUAAUUCACUCCAUCAAAUAAAUUUACAAGUAGAUUGAUU